This 30-nucleotide non-coding RNA is filed under the name Mus musculus (house mouse). The record is from RNAcentral. Lineage: Eukaryota; Metazoa; Chordata; Mammalia; Rodentia; Muridae.
UUCCACCUCAGUCUUGUGCAUGAGGUAGGG